GUAGGUGGCAAGCGUUGUCCGGAGUUAUUGGGGCGUAAAGCGCGCGCAGGCGGUUCUUUAAGUCUGAUGUGAAAGCCCACGGGCUCAACCGUGGAGGGUCAUUGGAAACUGGAGAACUUGAGUACAGAAGAGGAAAGCGGAAUUCCACGUGUAGCGGUGAAAUGCGUAGAGAUGUGGAGGAACACCAGUGGCGAAGGCGGCUUUCUGGUCUGUAACUGACGCUGAGGCGCGAAAGCGUGGGGAGCAAACAGGAUUAGAUACCCUGGUAGUCCACGCCGUAAACGAUGAGUGCUAAGUGUUAGGGGGUUUCCGCCCCUUAGUGCUGCAGCUAACGCAUUAAGCACUCCGCCUGGGGAGUACGGCCGCAAAGGCUGA
This 375-nucleotide ribosomal RNA is filed under the name uncultured organism. Its description in RNAcentral is "partial 16S ribosomal RNA". It matches the Rfam family "Bacterial small subunit ribosomal RNA", at positions 527 to 897 of the family's 1533-position model. The record is from RNAcentral.